RNAcentral lists this long non-coding RNA (1244 nucleotides) under Eutrema salsugineum. RNAcentral's name for it is "long non-coding RNA (ESAL_LNC001420)". Lineage: Eukaryota; Viridiplantae; Streptophyta; Magnoliopsida; Brassicales; Brassicaceae. The record is from RNAcentral.
UCAACUCAUAAUAUUUCUUAUUAAACGAAAACAGGAAACAUCGAUGACAACGGUAUGAUCAUAGGUUAAUCAAACCUCACAAGUCAUAACUCGAACAUAUGUUUAUAAUCAUUCGUCCCUUUCGAUUUUAAUUCACAUACAAGGAUAUUAUUUCUCUAUUGGUUAGUGAAGUUCAUGCGUAUCUGGGAUAAGCCUAAUCUCAUCCGCUUUAAGAAAAUUCAAGUGUUUUGGACUUUUCUAAUAUUGCCCACAGAAACCACAGACUGAAAAACAAGAACCACAAAAUACUGCAAUCUUUAUAUUACUAAAGCACAAGUCACUGCAUCACCAAUUACAUGGUGAUAUGUGUCAAAGUAAAACAAAAAUUAACGUAAAAAGCAAAAAAACAAAAAAAUAGAAAGUAGUGAAAAAAAAGUAAAAAGCUUCAAAACCUAAUUCUAAAAAUUCUAAAUUUUCUCAUCCAAAAAUAACCAGGAUCCCACGGUUUCUAAAACUUUCGUCUCCUCUAUCUCACGAUAACUGUAAUUCAUGUAUAACUCCCAAUCAUGUCACGAUCUCAAACAGUUUCAACUCCUUCAUAACUCUUUAUUUGCUCUUCCUUUCUUUCUCCUCUUAUAUCCAUUCAUGCACAUCAAAGCAGCAAAACAAACACACGUAUUUAUAAAUUUUCAUCAUCUUCAUCGCCUCUCUGACUCUCUCUACACCUCUCCUCUCAUGGCUGUCGAUCUCACCAGUCACCAUCUACUUCUCUCUUUUCCUCAAAUCUUCUCCAACAGGUUAAUAACGCUCUCUAUUCGAUAUGAUGAUUAUUUAUUUUUUUUAGUCUGAUUCUUUGGAGUUCUCUUUGUGGAUUUUCUACUAAAUCUUUUUAUUUUACUGUUUCUGCAGAGAAUUAUGAUGAGUUACAACACCACCAUGGAACUAGAACUGUCAAUUGGCCGUCCACAAUAUCCAUUUAAUUUAGCGGACAUAAUUGGACUGGUUGUAAUGGACAUUGGGCCAAAAAGUGUCCACGCCCAAAUUGGACCAUGUCCAGAUGGUCUUUCCGCGGGCCGUCCAUAUUAUUUUGUUGACUUUUUAUUUGAUAUGUUGACAUUUGUUUCUCUUACUAAUAAAUUUAAUUUUUUUAAUUUACUAAAUGUUUAUUUGAUCUUUUAACUACUACAAAAUGAUAAUUCAAUGUUUUUCUUAAUUUACAUGUUGAAAAUAUUUGAGUUUUUAUUAAUUUACAUGUUGAAAAUAAA